Molecule: long non-coding RNA, 2301 nt
Organism: Lytechinus pictus (painted urchin)
Lineage: Eukaryota; Metazoa; Echinodermata; Echinoidea; Temnopleuroida; Toxopneustidae
Exons: 2
Source: RefSeq, a predicted model, not a curated record
CGUAAGUGUUGCGGCCGAGGAUAGAACCCUGGACUUUCUAUGUGCAGUCAGGCGCCUUUGACCACUCGGCCACGGCACCUCCAUUUUGCCACAGAAUUAGACCAUGACCUCAGACUAAGUUAAAUGGGGAUUUCAGAAUAUUGUCCUUUGGGUUUACAUUUCAUCCCAACAUAAACAUUCAGUCAGCAUGGGUCCCAUUUCAUAAAACCUGUCAUUAACACAUUCAAAUUUCUACAGCCAAAUUUACUAUCAGCCAAUCACUUUUACCUAUGAGGAGUUUUUGUAUACAAAAAUAACCCUAAAAGCAUUGCUAUUCAGUUCUUCUUAAUUUCCUUCAUAAUUCUUGAAUAGCGCCUUGAGCACUCUACAGAGUGGAUUCGGCGCUAUAAAAGUCCAAUAUAUUAUUAUCAUUGUUGUCACUGGCAUACAAUUGAUAGUAACCAAAGUUCAAACACAGGAGCCAAUCCUGGGGCAUAGAUCCACCUCUGAAUCUUAAUCCAUUUGGGGAGGGUUUGUGAUAAGGAGGGGGAGGGGGUUUGGGAUUGCUGGUGAGAAAUAUUGUAAUAUGUUAUUGUCUUAAAAAUUAAAAAAAAAUGUAUAUAUUUUUGUUAUGACAGGCGGAGGUGAUACUGCGACGUGUGCAGCAAAGUAUAACACUGAGCAUCUCGUCAGCCAUGUCAGUACUGGAGGCGGGGCUAGUCUAGAGCUCUUGGAAGGCAAGAACCUACCAGGUAUUGCUGCAUUGUCCGACGUCUGACUACCUCCAUCACCCUUUCCUACCAGUGCACUUUGACCCGAUGCCAUAGAUCCUUAUUGGUGGCAGCGGUGGGAUUCAUAUCAAAUAUAUUAGCUGGCCGAUGCAAUGCCAGGCAAGGUUGUAUUUUGUGGCAGCCCUCAACGUUAUCCUUUCCUCUUCCUGAAGUGUUUGUAAUUGAUACCUCUUCUAUUAAACGCAUUAAUGUCCGGUCCGGUGUUUCAUGAAAUUACGAGCGACUUUAUGCAUUACAUGUUUUGUUGACAAUCAUAGUUUGUAUUCCACCAAAAGAAAUAUUCGGCAGAGCUGGGGACUACUGAUAGUGACUGAUUAAGUCUUUGUAUCUGUCCGUGUCUGAUGAUUGCUUCAAUAACUUAAUGUGCACGCAUGCAACCCAGAAGGUUUUCUGUGAAGUGAUUAGCUAGUGUUUGAGUGUUGUCCUACACUUUGAAAAACUGUCAGUCAAACCAAAUUCUUUGGUCAGUUAGAUAUUGCAUUCUAUUUAUCCUUUCUUUCUAAAAUAAAGUUAAAUGGUAAAAUUGUAGUAUUUGUGAAAGGAAGGGGUUAUAAAAUGUAGGAUUUCACAAAUUUUAAAUAUAUUGAGUGUAAUGUCACCAGUAUUUCAGAUACUGCAUUAUGAACUACAAAGAUUUUAUUUUUUACAGCUUGUAAUAUAAUUACAUGGUUGAAAGUGAUUGCAAAGCAGUCAUACUUUGCUUAUAGCACCUAAAAGCAAUAUGACAGAUUCAUCUUGAUAAUGUGAUAUAUAUUUUCGUGCAAAAUUAUUUUUACUUUUAAUAAUUCUCAAAUUCUGUGUCAUAUGCUCAAAAAGAUAAGGCUUGUCAGGGUAUAUUUCUAACAAGAUUGUUAAACGAAAUUGUUAAUAUAUCGAAAAUCAGUUUCUCCAAGCUAAAGUUUGAUGGGCAAGCCUUCUAGAUUGGAAGAAGUUGAAAUAUUAUAUGUUCUUCCUGAACUGAUUAAAUCAUACUUUAUCUUUGUUUUGUUAGUCAUGCCAUUGUUUUUUGAGGUGGUUAAUACUUAGUAUGCCAUCAGUAAAUACAUACAAUUAUGUUAGCAAAGGAUGUUUUAUUAUUAUACAAGAAAAUUUAUUUUAGUGUCAGUUUUAUGCAUCAAGGAUGUGUGAUUUCAUUGUUUGUGCAAAGCACAAAUGUCACCAUAAUCAAGCCACCACAACAUCAUUUUGUAAAACUGCCUAAGUUCUUGGUUAUCUUGGGAAUUUGUUUAGUGGGAUUAUAUUUGGUAAUGUGCAGGUAGGCUGUGGAGAUUUUCAUAAUGUUUAGUAUAUAAAUGAAUGUGAAUCCUACAGAGCUGGGGCCCGUUUCAUAUAACUGGUUAUAAUACCAAAUUUUUCAAUAACAGUUUAAAGCAAAUUAAAUCAUUCGAUUUGAUUGGCUGAUUGUAAACUUGAUAUAGAAAAUGUGCAUUUGUUAUUUUAACCACUCUUUAUGAAACCAGACCCAGAAAUGAGACUAUGAUGUGGUGUAGAUGAGAUAUAUCAUAAUAAAUGUGAAAUUAUAUAAAAAUAA